Molecule: long non-coding RNA, 1096 nt
Organism: Magnolia sinica
Lineage: Eukaryota; Viridiplantae; Streptophyta; Magnoliopsida; Magnoliales; Magnoliaceae
Exons: 2
Source: RefSeq, a predicted model, not a curated record
AAUGCUCGACCUCGAACUCCUCUUUCUUUGCUGUCUUGGCUACAGGUGAGAUUUUGUUGUGGAAAAAGAAGAGAUUUUGUUCCUUGUCAUUUUUUAUGGUUUUUCUUUUUGAUAUUGAAGGCUUGGGACUCAAUCUUGGCUAGAAUGAUAUGAUCCUCAAAUCUAUGGGUCUUUAGUUUGUACAAGUGGGGCCCAUGAUUUGGUAAUAUAGACCAUUGACAUGAUGUACUGCAAUUAAGAAAAACUUAGUCAUCUUGAAGCUUAACUGAGUGGACUCAACUAAAUUUGGAGCUGAGUCUGCCACAAACUUGGCACUGACCAAGACUAGGCAAGUCGAAUAACCCCUUUAGUGGACUCACAGCCAUGGUCGACUGGUCUUUUCUUCUUUAAGAGCUUUGGUCAUUCGUGAAUUGUUAUGCAGGUGAGGUUUUUUUUUUUUUUUUUGGUCAUUUAUUAUUAUUAUUAUUGUCGUCAUAAAUUUCAUAUAUAACAAACCUUAUUCUCAUUUUCCUUUUGACUUAACUGAACCACCAUUCUCUUGCCUUUGAGGAGUUUGACCAAAAGGUCACUUGAAAGCAUUCCACAGUUUGCCAAGAAUGAGUUUGCUCUGCCUGUGGUGACUGAGGAUCCAAUGCAUCAUUACCCACUGGGGCCAAGAAGAAUGAAUAGGGAAUUUUCAAUGGAUCACCUACAACUCUAAAAAUCGAAAGUUAGGAUCACUGAAGCAUGAUCGUGGGGCAAUAGUUUAUUUAUGGUAGCAAUGAGAAUAUUGACUGCUCAAAUCACAGUACAUCUCAGCAUAUGGUAGGGUGGUGAUACAGGACCCUGAACUGUGCAUGGGAGAAUUGAUUGAAUAUUCGGAGCUGACCAAGUAGGGUUUGGAUCAGAUUCAACUGAAAAUAAACCAAAUGGCUAGGAUGUUUUUAUUUUGUAGAUUUUUUUGAUGUAUUGUGCUUCCAUGGUGGUACAUAAGAUACCACCAGCAACUGAGAUAUUGUAAAAAACUGAAAAUCAGAUGAUACGAUUCUUAUGUUGAAACAUUAACCUCGUAUGUAGUUCGCACCCAAAUGCUCUAGAGCCAGCUGCGUUUUGCCUU